This 500-nucleotide ribosomal RNA is filed under the name uncultured bacterium. RNAcentral describes it as "SSU rRNA". It matches the Rfam family "Bacterial small subunit ribosomal RNA", at positions 26 to 523 of the family's 1533-position model. The record is from RNAcentral.
AGGACGAACGCUGGCGGCGUGCUUAACACAUGCAAGUCGAACGGUAAGGCCCUUCGGGGUACACGAGUGGCGAACGGGUGAGUAACACGUGGGUGAUCUGCCCUGCACUUCGGGAUAAGCUUGGGAAACUGGGUCUAAAUACCGGAUAUGACUACGAAUCGCAUGGUUUGUGGUGGAAAGCUUUUGCGGUGUGGGAUGGGCCCGCGGCCUAUCAGCUUGUUGGUGGGGUGAUGGCCUACCAAGGCGACGACGGGUAGCCGGCCUGAGAGGGUGUCCGGCCACACUGGGACUGAGAUACGGCCCAGACUCCUACGGGAGGCAGCAGUGGGGAAUAUUGGACAAUGGGGGCAACCCUGAUCCAGCAAUACCGCGUGUGUGAAGAAGGCCUUCGGGUUGUAAAGCACUUUAGGCGGGGAAGAAGAUUGGUAUUUUAAGAGAUAACCAAUUUGACGGUACCGCAGAAUAAGCACCGGCUAACUCUGUGCCAGCAGUCGCGGUAA